Molecule: small nuclear RNA, 161 nt
Filed under: Dasypus novemcinctus (nine-banded armadillo)
Lineage: Eukaryota; Metazoa; Chordata; Mammalia; Cingulata; Dasypodidae
Description: U1 spliceosomal RNA (ENSDNOG00000033930.1)
Rfam family: U1 spliceosomal RNA
About the family: U1 is a small nuclear RNA (snRNA) component of the spliceosome (involved in pre-mRNA splicing). Its 5' end forms complementary base pairs with the 5' splice junction, thus defining the 5' donor site of an intron. There are significant differences in sequence and secondary structure between metazoan and yeast U1 snRNAs, the latter being much longer (568 nucleotides as compared to 164 nucleotides in human).
Source: RNAcentral
UUACUUACCUGGCAGGGGAGAUGCCAUAUCAUGAAGGUGGUUUUCCCAGGGUGAGUUUCAUCUAUUGCGCUCUGGAUGUGCUGACCCCUGCAAUUUCCCCAAGUGCAGGAAAAUCAACUGCAUAAUUUGUGGUAGUGGGGGACUAUGUUCAUGUUUUCCAC